GAUGAACGCUGGCGGCGUGCCUAAUACAUGCAAGUCGAGCGAACAGAUGAGGAGCUUGUUCCUCUGACGUUAGCGGCGGACGGGUGAGUAACACGUGGAUAACCUACCUAUAAGACUGGGAUAACUUCGGGAAACCGGAGCUAAUACCGCAUAAUAUAUUGAACCGCAUGGUUCAAUAGUGAAAGACGGUUUUGCUUUCCUUUAUAGAUGGAUCCGCGUCGCAUUAGCUAGUUGGUAAGGUAACGGCUUACCAAGGCAACGAUGCGUAGCCGACCGGAGAGGGGGAUCGGCCACACUGGAACUGAGACACGGUCCAGACUCCUACGGGAGGCAGCAGUGGGGAAUCUUCGGCAAUGGGCGAAAGCCUGACGGAGCAACGCCGCGUGGGUGAUGAAGGUCUUCGGAUGGUAAAACUCUUUGGUUGGGGAAGAACAAAUGGGUAAGUAACUAUGCACGUCUUGACGGUACCUAACCAGAAAGCCACGGCUAACUACGUG
This 497-nucleotide ribosomal RNA is filed under the name uncultured bacterium. RNAcentral describes it as "partial 16S ribosomal RNA". It matches the Rfam family "Bacterial small subunit ribosomal RNA", at positions 28 to 507 of the family's 1533-position model. The record is from RNAcentral.